GCCGAUAUAGUUCAGUUGGUAGAACAACAGAUUUGUAAUCUGUGUGUCACCUGUUCGAUUCAGGUUAUCGGCU
This 73-nucleotide transfer RNA is filed under the name Caudoviricetes sp. Its description in RNAcentral is "tRNA-Thr". It matches the Rfam family "tRNA". From Rfam's summary of the family: Transfer RNA (tRNA) molecules are approximately 80 nucleotides in length. Their secondary structure includes four short double-helical elements and three loops (D, anti-codon, and T loops). The record is from RNAcentral. Lineage: Duplodnaviria; Heunggongvirae; Uroviricota; Caudoviricetes.